This 99-nucleotide Y RNA is filed under the name Peromyscus maniculatus bairdii (prairie deer mouse). Its description in RNAcentral is "Y RNA (ENSPEMG00000026322.1)". It matches the Rfam family "Y RNA". Rfam says of the family: Y RNAs are components of the Ro ribonucleoprotein particle (Ro RNP), in association with Ro60 and La proteins. The Y RNAs and Ro60 and La proteins are well conserved, but the function of the Ro RNP is not known. In humans the RNA component can be one of four small RNAs -- hY1, hY3, hY4 and hY5. The record is from Rfam by way of RNAcentral. Lineage: Eukaryota; Metazoa; Chordata; Mammalia; Rodentia; Cricetidae.
GGCUGGUCUGAAGGUAGUGAGUUAUCUCGAUUGAUCACAACCAGUUGCAGAUUUCUUUGUUCCUUCUCCACUCCCACUACUUCACUUGAACAGCCAUCC